This 621-nucleotide ribosomal RNA is filed under the name Pseudomonas sp. Air106. RNAcentral's name for it is "bacterial SSU rRNA". It matches the Rfam family "Bacterial small subunit ribosomal RNA", at positions 65 to 679 of the family's 1533-position model. The record is from RNAcentral. Lineage: Bacteria; Pseudomonadati; Pseudomonadota; Gammaproteobacteria; Pseudomonadales; Pseudomonadaceae.
AGCGGCAGCACGGGUACUUGUACCUGGUGGCGAGCGGCGGACGGGUGAGUAAUGCCUAGGAAUCUGCCUGGUAGUGGGGGAUAACGCUCGGAAACGGACGCUAAUACCGCAUACGUCCUACGGGAGAAAGCAGGGGACCUUCGGGCCUUGCGCUAUCAGAUGAGCCUAGGUCGGAUUAGCUAGUUGGUGAGGUAAUGGCUCACCAAGGCGACGAUCCGUAACUGGUCUGAGAGGAUGAUCAGUCACACUGGAACUGAGACACGGUCCAGACUCCUACGGGAGGCAGCAGUGGGGAAUAUUGGACAAUGGGCGAAAGCCUGAUCCAGCCAUGCCGCGUGUGUGAAGAAGGUCUUCGGAUUGUAAAGCACUUUAAGUUGGGAGGAAGGGCAGUUACCUAAUACGUGAUUGUUUUGACGUUACCGACAGAAUAAGCACCGGCUAACUCUGUGCCAGCAGCCGCGGUAAUACAGAGGGUGCAAGCGUUAAUCGGAAUUACUGGGCGUAAAGCGCGCGUAGGUGGUUUGUUAAGUUGAAUGUGAAAUCCCCGGGCUCAACCUGGGAACUGCAUCCAAAACUGGCAAGCUAGAGUAUGGUAGAGGGUGGUGGAAUUUCCUGUGUAGC